GGCCAGACUCCUACGGGAGGCAGCAGUGGGGAAUAUUGCACAAUGGGGGAAACCCUGGUGCAGCGACGCCGCGUGAGUGAAGAAGUAUUUCGGUAUGUAAAGCUCUAUCAGCAGGAAAGAAAAUGACGGUACCUGACUAAGAAGCCCCGGCUAACUACGUGCCAGCAGCCGCGGUAAUACGUAGGGGGCAAGCGUUAUCCGGAUUUACUGGGUGUAAAGGGAGCGUAGACGGUGAAGCAAGUCUGAAGUGAAAGGCGGGGGCUCAACCCCCGGACUGCUUUGGAAACUGUUUGACUGGAGUGCAGGAGAGGUAAGUGGAAUUCCUAGUGUAGCGGUGAAAUGCGUAGAUAUUAGGAGGAACACCAGUGGCGAAGGCGGCUUACUGGACUGUAACUGACGUUGAGGCUCGAAAGCGUGGGGAGCAAACAGGAUUAGAUACCCGUGUA
RNAcentral lists this ribosomal RNA (446 nucleotides) under uncultured bacterium. RNAcentral's name for it is "bacterial SSU rRNA". It matches the Rfam family "Bacterial small subunit ribosomal RNA", at positions 329 to 792 of the family's 1533-position model. The record is from RNAcentral.